AGCAGAUAACAUAUAACCAUUUCUAAAAAUACUGGAAUCAAGAAAAGACAGCUGUCCAAAAUUGCUAAAAUCCCAAAGCAUGAAAAUAAAACAGAAACCAGAUGAUCAAUCAGACUACUCAUCACCAAAAAUGUCAAAGCCCAUCUCCUCAUCAGACUCCUCAGAUUCGGCCGGUGCCGCAGCAGCUGGAGCAGCAGCUGCAGCUGCAGGGGCUGCAUCUGCAGCAGCUGCAGCUGGGGCAGCAGCAGCAAAUUUGCUGGGGUCCUUCAGAUACUCCUUUACUGUCUCAGCCUGUGGGAAGCUGUAUUCCGUGGCCAGAGCAACCGCCAGCACAUUCUUGUAAGCAUUGAUGAACAUGUGGGGUGCUGCUGCCAAGGUUGGGUAGGAGAGAGCAAGAGACAAGGACGUAACCAUGGAAACACCAGCAGCAAACCUCCCAAUGAGAUCAUCCUCAGUGAGGUCGAGCACCUCAGGGCUGAAGACCGACCCAUUGUCAUAUACAUUCACCACCACAAGGCCAUACGAGAACGGCUUUAUGCCGAGCUUGGCAAGCAAGGCAGCCUCAGAGGACCCCACCUUGUCUCCCUUCUUGAUUAGGUCAACAGGGGUGAUGAUCUCAACAGUACCCUUGUUGAUCUUGGUAGGAAUGUUGAGCACCUGGAAGAAAGAAGUCUGGGAAGGAUCCAAUCCAGUGUUGCCAGGAGGAACCACGACAUCGAUAGGAGCAACAAGGCCAACACGGGCAGGGGCACCAACCUUAUACUCGGCCACCUUCUCGCUAACCUCCUUCAGAUCUCCCUUAGUGAAGAUAAGUCCAACAUUACCGACGAGGAGGGGGAGGAGGUUGAGGUAGGCGUUGUUCUCGGUCUUCUCGGCGUGGAACUUGAUGCAGCGGCGGAUGAGGGUGUUCUUCCCCAUGAGGAUAACAGAGUCGCCGCGGAGGCCACUGCGAAUGCUCUGCAGUUGCUUCGAUCCGACGUUGUCCGCCACUGCGACCAGCACCUGGCUGUACUCAUCGAGCAGCUCGCACAGCUUCUUGUCGUACGCCUGCUUCUUCAACGCUUUCGACUUCGCCGGUG
This 1079-nucleotide unclassified non-coding RNA is filed under the name Hevea brasiliensis (rubber tree). The record is from RNAcentral. Lineage: Eukaryota; Viridiplantae; Streptophyta; Magnoliopsida; Malpighiales; Euphorbiaceae.